AGCGGAGGAAAAGAAACCAACAUGGAUUCCCCUAGUAGCGGCGAGCGAAGCGGGAUGAGCCCAGAUUUGAAAGCUCCCGCCAGGGCGCAUUGUAAGCUGGAGACGUGCCUCGAGCGGCGCGGCUGGACGCCAAGUCUGCUGGAAAGCAGCAUCAGAGAGGGUGAGAAUCCCGUGCUUGGUCUGGCUGUGGCGCCGUGUUGUGGGGUGCGCUCGACGAGUCGCGUUGUUUGGGAAUGCAGCGCAAAGCGGGUGGUAAACGCCAUCCAAGGCUAAAUACCGGGGAGAGACCGAUAGCGAACAAGUACCGUGAGGGAAAGAUGAAAAGCACUUUGGAAAGAGAGUUAAACAGUACGUGAAAUUGCCAAGAGGGAAGCGCUGGCAGUCAGUGCCGUAGCUGUGUCUCUCUGUGGAUGCAGUGGGGCCCGCAUCGGUUGCGUGUGGGGGAGAAGGCAGUGCGGAAGGUGGCUUACCUCGUGUGAGUGUUAUAGCCGUGCUGUGGAUGCCCUGCGUGCGACCGAGGACCGCUCUUUUGACAGGAUGCGGGCUUAAUGGCUUUCAGCGGCCCGUCUUAAUCCGG
Molecule: ribosomal RNA, 577 nt
Filed under: Trichosporonoides sp. 11-1178
Lineage: Eukaryota; Fungi; Basidiomycota; Moniliellomycetes; Moniliellales; Moniliellaceae
Description: eukaryotic LSU rRNA
Rfam family: Eukaryotic large subunit ribosomal RNA
Source: RNAcentral